UGAGGAAUAUUGGUCAAUGGGCGCGAGCCUGAACCAGCCAAGUCGCGUGAGGGAAGACGGCCCCUACGGGUUGUAAACCUCUUUUGUCGGGUGAGCAAGGACUGCCACGUGUGGCAGGGCGAGAGUACCCGAAGAAAAAGCAUCGGCUAACUCCGUGCCAGCAGCCGCGGUAAUACGGAGGAUGCGAGCGUUAUCCGGAUUUAUUGGGUUUAAAGGGUGCGUAGGCGGAAGUUCAAGUCAGCGGUAAAAUCGAGGGGCUCAACCCUUCAUAGCCGUUGAAACUGGAUUUCUUGAGUGGGCGAGAAGUGUGCGGAAUGUGUGGUGUAGCGGUGAAAUGCAUAGAUAUCACACAGAACUCCGAUUGCGAAGGCAGCACACCGGCGCCCGACUGACGCUGAGGCACGAAAGCGUGGGGAUCAAACAGGAUUAGAUACC
RNAcentral lists this ribosomal RNA (435 nucleotides) under uncultured bacterium. Its description in RNAcentral is "bacterial SSU rRNA". It matches the Rfam family "Bacterial small subunit ribosomal RNA", at positions 355 to 786 of the family's 1533-position model. The record is from RNAcentral.